This 1056-nucleotide long non-coding RNA is filed under the name Olea europaea (common olive). RNAcentral's name for it is "long non-coding RNA (OEUR_LNC010820)". The record is from RNAcentral. Lineage: Eukaryota; Viridiplantae; Streptophyta; Magnoliopsida; Lamiales; Oleaceae.
AUAAUUUUUAAAUAAACAAUUAAUUAUUCGAUAAAAUUACAAUCCAACCCGUCUCAAAAUUAAUAUACAUAACAAAGUCAAUUACAAUUAAUUGAUAAUAUAUCCCACUGACUCAUGCCACCAUAAUAGCCAAUAAAUAUUUCAGCUUUCUAAUUUCUCAUUGAUGAUCACAUUAUAAUACCAAUAGUCUUAAUUUGAUUACCCUUCUUCCUCAAUCGCUACUAUGGUUGCCAAGUGCAGGGAAGUCCUUUUUCAUUUUUGGCCACAAUUUGAUGCUAAAAAGUAGCAAUUUCAUUUCCUUCCAAUUAAGCACUGUACAACCGAUUUCAUUUUCCUUUCAUUGGAUCCCUGUUCAACUAAUUCCAUUUCCAUUAGCAUUUCUACUAAUCAAAAUAUGAUUACACAUAUAUUUAUCCACUCAAUUCGAUUUAUGUACCUGCCCUUUUCUAUUCCUUCAGUCUCCCAGCUCUUCUCUCUACAUUCCUCCAAAGUGAGAAAUGGAUAGAUAUGUAUAAUGUUUAUGCUUAUCAAUUACCAUCAUUUCCACUAAUCAUACCUAUUCAAGAACUCAAUUAAAAACUCUAGGAUUUACCAAAAUUAGUAUUUCUUACCUUGAUACAAAGAUCUUUCACAAAUCUGCUUGAAAUCAUACUGUUUCCAUCAAUCCGAAAAUGGAACUAUCAAAUUUGCCCAACUACUUAGAAGCCUAGAAAAUUUUAUAUGAAUUAUACCACAAAAUAUUUACCUCUUUCCUCUCUAAAAAUUGAAGAAAUUGAAUAAUGGAACUCAAGAUUUUCUUCACCCUUUUUUCUUUAUCUUCUCUUUUCUCUUUUCUCUUUUCUUUCUCCUUUUUUCUCUCUCUCGGUCUCUCUCAAUUUUUCCGGUUUCUUCUCUCCCAGCCAUUUCUUCUUGUGUGUGUAUGUAAAGAAUUGGAAGAAAUGGUUUAUAACAUGACACUUGUAUUCCACUAACCCCAAAUUUUGCCAUUCAAGUCCUUCAACAUUAAUAUAUCUUAACAUUAAAUCUUUUACUUCCAAAAAUAGAAAAAUAAAUCCC